UACGGGGGGGGCAAGCGUUGUUCGGAAUUACUGGGCGUAAAGGGCUCGUAGGCGGCCAACUAAGUCAUACGUGAAAUCCCUCGGCUUAACCGGGGAACUGCGUCUGAUACUGGAUGGCUUGAGUUCGGGAGAGGGAUGCGGAAUUCCAGGUGUAGCGGUGAAAUGCGUAGAUAUCUGGAGGAACACCGGUGGCGAAGGCGGCAUCCUGGACCGGUAUUGACGCUGAUGCGCGAAAGCCAGGGGAGCAAACGGG
RNAcentral lists this ribosomal RNA (253 nucleotides) under uncultured bacterium. RNAcentral's name for it is "partial 16S ribosomal RNA". It matches the Rfam family "Bacterial small subunit ribosomal RNA", at positions 524 to 776 of the family's 1533-position model. The record is from RNAcentral.